Molecule: ribosomal RNA, 452 nt
Filed under: uncultured bacterium
Lineage: Bacteria
Description: bacterial SSU rRNA
Rfam family: Bacterial small subunit ribosomal RNA
Source: RNAcentral
AAGUAACGCUAGCUAUAUGCUUAACACAUGCAAGUCGAACGCACCUUUCGGGGUGAGUGGCAGACGGGUGAGUAACGCGUGGGAACGUGCCCUUCAGUUCGGAAUAACCCAGGGAAACUUGGGCUAAGACCGGAUACGUGCGAGAGCAGAAAGAUUUAUCGCUGAAGGAUCGGCCCGCGUCUGAUUAGCUGGUUGGUGAGGUAAUGGCUCACCAAGGCGACGAUCAGUAGCUGGUCUGAGAGGAUGAUCAGCCACAUUGGGACUGAGACACGGCCCAAACUCCUACGGGAGGCAGCAGUGGGGAAUAUUGGACAAUGGGCGCAAGCCUGAUCCAGCCAUGCCGCGUGAGUGAUGAAGGCCUUAGGGUUGUAAAGCUCUUUCGUCCGGGACGAUAAUGACGGUACCGGAAGAAGAAGCCCCGGCUAACUUCGUGCCAGCAGCCGCAGUAAAAC